This 2889-nucleotide ribosomal RNA is filed under the name Aeromonas sp. FDAARGOS 1416. RNAcentral's name for it is "23S ribosomal RNA". It matches the Rfam family "Bacterial large subunit ribosomal RNA". The record is from RNAcentral. Lineage: Bacteria; Pseudomonadati; Pseudomonadota; Gammaproteobacteria; Aeromonadales; Aeromonadaceae.
GGUUAAGUGACUAAGCGUACAUGGUGGAUGCCUUGGCAGUCAGAGGCGAUGAAGGACGUACUAACCUGCGAUAAGCUGUGAGAAGUCGGUAAGAGACGCUAUUACUCACAGAUUUCCGAAUGGGGAAACCCACCCGAGAUAACUUGGGUAUCGUUACAUGAAUACAUAGUGUAACGAGGCGAACCGGGAGAACUGAAACAUCUAAGUACCCCGAGGAAAAGAAAUCAACCGAGAUUCCCUCAGUAGCGGCGAGCGAACGGGGAUUAGCCCUUAAGCAUCUUGGAAGUUAGUGGAACGGUCCUGGAAAGGCCGGCGAUACAGGGUGAUAGCCCCGUACACGAAAACAACCUUGAUGUGAAAUCGAGUAGGGCGGGACACGUGACAUCCUGUCUGAAUAUGGGGGGACCAUCCUCCAAGGCUAAAUACUCCUGACUGACCGAUAGUGAACCAGUACCGUGAGGGAAAGGCGAAAAGAACCCCUGUGAGGGGAGUGAAAUAGAACCUGAAACCGUGUACGUACAAGCAGUGGGAGCCCUUCGGGGUGACUGCGUACCUUUUGUAUAAUGGGUCAGCGACUUACAUUUUGUAGCGAGGUUAACCGUAUAGGGGAGCCGUAGGGAAACCGAGUCUUAACUGGGCGUCUAGUUGCAAGGUGUAGACCCGAAACCGGGUGAUCUAGCCAUGGGCAGGUUGAAGGUUGAGUAACAUCAACUGGAGGACCGAACCCACUAACGUUGCAAAGUUAGGGGAUGACCUGUGGCUGGGGGUGAAAGGCCAAUCAAACUCGGAGAUAGCUGGUUCUCCCCGAAAGCUAUUUAGGUAGCGCCUCGGACGAAUACUACUGGGGGUAGAGCACUGUUUGGGCUAGGGGGUCAUCCCGACUUACCAACCCCAUGCAAACUCCGAAUACCAGUAAGUAAUAUCCGGGAGACACACGGCGGGUGCUAACGUCCGUCGUGAAGAGGGAAACAACCCAGACCGCCGGCUAAGGUCCCAAAGUUCUGGUUAAGUGGGAAACGAUGUGGGAAGGCUCAGACAGCUAGGAUGUUGGCUUAGAAGCAGCCAUCAUUUAAAGAAAGCGUAAUAGCUCACUAGUCGAGUCGGCCUGCGCGGAAGAUGUAACGGGGCUCAAACCAGGCACCGAAGCCGCGGAUUUGCACUUAGUGCAAGUGGUAGGGGAGCGUUCUGUAAGUCUGCGAAGGUGUAUCGAGAGGUAUGCUGGAGAUAUCAGAAGUGCGAAUGCUGACGUAAGUAACGAUAAAGGGGGUGAAAAGCCUCCUCGCCGGAAGACCAAGGGUUCCUGUCCAACGUUAAUCGGGGCAGGGUGAGUCGACCCCUAAGGUGAGGCCGAAAGGCGUAAUCGAUGGGAAGCAGGUUAAUAUUCCUGCACGACUUGUAAUUGCGAUGGGGGGACGGAGAAGGCUAGGUGGGCCAGGCGACGGUUGUCCUGGUGAAAGUGCGUAGGUGGUGUUUCUAGGCAAAUCCGGAGACACAACACUGAGACACGAGACGAACACACUACGGUGUGGAAGCCAUUGAUGCCCUGCUUCCAGGAAAAGCCUCUAAGCUUCAGAUUACAAGUCAUCGUACCCCAAACCGACACAGGUGGUCGGGUAGAGAAUACCAAGGCGCUUGAGAGAACUCGGGUGAAGGAACUAGGCAAAAUAGAACCGUAACUUCGGGAGAAGGUUCGCUCUUGAUGGUGAAGUCCCUUGCGGAUGGAGCUGUCGGGAGUCGCAGUGACCAGAUGGCUGGGACUGUUUAUCAAAAACACAGCACUCUGCAAACACGAAAGUGGACGUAUAGGGUGUGACACCUGCCCGGUGCCGGAAGGUUAAUUGAUGGGGUUAGCGCAAGCGAAGCUCUUGAUCGAAGCCCCGGUAAACGGCGGCCGUAACUAUAACGGUCCUAAGGUAGCGAAAUUCCUUGUCGGGUAAGUUCCGACCUGCACGAAUGGUGUAACCAUGGCCAUGCUGUCUCCACCCGAGACUCAGUGAAAUCGAAUUCGCCGUGAAGAUGCGGUGUACCCGCGGCUAGACGGAAAGACCCCGUGAACCUUUACUACAGCUUGGCACUGAACAUUGAACCUACAUGUGUAGGAUAGGUGGGAGGCUUUGAAGGCGUGACGCCAGUUGCGCUGGAGCCGUCCUUGAAAUACCACCCUUGUAUGUUUGAUGUUCUAACGCAGGGCCCUGAAUCGGGCUCGCGGACAGUGCCUGGUGGGUAGUUUGACUGGGGCGGUCUCCUCCCAAAGAGUAACGGAGGAGCACGAAGGUUGGCUAAUCCUGGUCGGACAUCAGGAGGUUAGUGCAAUGGCAUAAGCCAGCUUAACUGCGAGACGGACAGGUCGAGCAGGUACGAAAGUAGGUCAUAGUGAUCCGGUGGUUCUGAAUGGAAGGGCCAUCGCUCAACGGAUAAAAGGUACUCCGGGGAUAACAGGCUGAUACCGCCCAAGAGUUCAUAUCGACGGCGGUGUUUGGCACCUCGAUGUCGGCUCAUCACAUCCUGGGGCUGAAGUCGGUCCCAAGGGUAUGGCUGUUCGCCAUUUAAAGUGGUACGCGAGCUGGGUUCAGAACGUCGUGAGACAGUUCGGUCCCUAUCUGCCGUGGGCGUUGGAUGAUUGAAGGGAGUUGCUCCUAGUACGAGAGGACCGGAGUGAACGAACCUCUGGUGUUCGGGUUGUCACGCCAGUGGCACUGCCCGGUAGCUAAGUUCGGAAUCGAUAACCGCUGAAAGCAUCUAAGCGGGAAGCGAGCCCUGAGAUGAGUCAUCCCUGACCCCUUGAGGGUCCUAAAGGGCCGUUGGAGACCACAACGUUGAUAGGUGGGGUGUGUAAGCGCGGCGACGUGUUGAGCUAACCCAUACUAAUUACCCGUGAGGCUUAACCAU